AAUUUUCGGCAAUGGGGGCAACCCUGACCGAGCGCCGCCGCGUGAGUGAAGAAGGUCUUCGGCUUGUAAAGCCCUGUCGUCAGGGCAGAACCGUACCAGAAGGGAAUGAAUGGUACCUGACGGUACCUUACCCGCAAGCCCCGCCCAACUCGGUGCCCGCAGCCGCGGUAAUACGUAGGUGGCAAGCGUUAUCCGGAAUUAUUGGGCGUGAAGGGAGCGCAGGCGGCUUAUUAAGUCUGAGGUUAAAGUUCGGGGCUCAACCCCGUGAUGCCUUAGAAACUGGUAGGCUAGAGUGCAGGAGAGAUGAGUGGAAUUCCAUGUGUAGCGGUAAAAUGCGUAGAUAUAUGGAGGAACACCAGUGGCGAAGGCGGCUCACUGGCCUGUAACUGACGCUGAGGCUCGAAAGCGUGGGGAGCAAAUA
Molecule: ribosomal RNA, 421 nt
Filed under: uncultured bacterium
Lineage: Bacteria
Description: partial 16S ribosomal RNA
Rfam family: Bacterial small subunit ribosomal RNA
Source: RNAcentral